Molecule: ribosomal RNA, 492 nt
Filed under: uncultured bacterium
Lineage: Bacteria
Description: partial 16S ribosomal RNA
Rfam family: Bacterial small subunit ribosomal RNA
Source: RNAcentral
AGUGAACGCUGGCGGUAGGCCUAACACAUGCAAGUCGAACGGCAGCACAGUAAGAGCUUGCUCUUACGGGUGGCGAGUGGCGGACGGGUGAGGAAUACAUCGGAAUCUACUUUUUCGUGGGGGAUAACGUAGGGAAACUUACGCUAAUACCGCAUACGACCUACGGGUGAAAGCAGGGGAUCUUCGGACCUUGCGCGAUUGAAUGAGCCGAUGUCGGAUUAGCUAGUUGGCGGGGUAAAGGCCCACCAAGCCGACGAUCCGUAGCUGGUCUGAGAGGAUGAUCAGCCACACUGGAACUGAGUCACGGUCCAGACUCCUACGGGAGGCAGCAGUGGGGAAUAUUGGACAAUGGGCGAAAGCCUGAUCCAGCCAUACCGCGUGGGUGAAGAAGGCCUUCGGGUUGUAAAGCCCUUUUGUUGGGAAAGAAAAGCAGCAGGUUAAUACCCCGCUGUUCUGACGGUACCCAAAGAAUAAGCACCGGCUAACUUCGUG